RNAcentral lists this ribosomal RNA (236 nucleotides) under uncultured bacterium. RNAcentral's name for it is "partial 16S ribosomal RNA". It matches the Rfam family "Bacterial small subunit ribosomal RNA", at positions 100 to 334 of the family's 1533-position model. The record is from RNAcentral.
CGGGACGGGUGAGUAGCGCGUGGGUAACCUGCCUCAUACAGGGGGAUAACAGUUAGAAAUGGCUGCUAAUACCGCAUAAGACCACAGUACUGCAUGGUACAGUGGUAAAAACUCCGGUGGUAUGAGAUGGACCCGCGUCUGAUUAGGUAGUUGGUGAGGUAACGGCCCACCAAGCCGACGAUCAGUAGCCGACCUGAGAGGGUGACCGGCCACAUUGGGACUGAGACACGGCCCAG